CGCUCCCGGCCGGGUACGGACCGCGGGGAGGAACUUCCGGACUCCAUAAGGCAGUGUGCCGUUUGAAAAGACGGAACAACGGAGCCACAUUUCCGUUGGAUGGAAAGUGCCACAGAAAAUAAACCGCCCGUAAGGGUAAGGGUGAAAAGGUGCGGUAAGAGCGCACCGCGCGCUAGGUAACUAACGCGGCAGGGUAAACCCCACACGGAGCAAGGCCAAGCCGGUCCAUACGUCGCCUGCGUUCGUGACCAAGUAGGCCGCUUAGAGUAAUGGUUAUCACAACUCGUCAGAGUUGACAGAAUCCGGGGUAUCGGCUGUCCU
RNAcentral lists this RNase P RNA (321 nucleotides) under bovine gut metagenome. Its description in RNAcentral is "Bacterial RNase P class A". It matches the Rfam family "Bacterial RNase P class A". From Rfam's summary of the family: Ribonuclease P (RNase P) is a ubiquitous endoribonuclease, found in archaea, bacteria and eukarya as well as chloroplasts and mitochondria. Its best characterised activity is the generation of mature 5'-ends of tRNAs by cleaving the 5'-leader elements of precursor-tRNAs. The record is from RNAcentral.